Molecule: ribosomal RNA, 492 nt
Filed under: uncultured bacterium
Lineage: Bacteria
Description: partial 16S ribosomal RNA
Rfam family: Bacterial small subunit ribosomal RNA
Source: RNAcentral
AGUGAACGCUGGCGGUAGGCCUAACACAUGCAAGUCGAACGGCAGCACAGUAAGAGCUUGCUCUUACGGGUGGCGAGUGGCGGACGGGUGAGGAAUACAUCGGAAUCUACUUUUUCGUUGGGGAUAACGUAGGGAAACUUACGCUAAUACCGCAUACGACCUACGGGUGAAAGCAGGGGAUCUUCUGACCUUGCGCGAUUGAAUGAGCCGAUGUCGGAUUAGCUAGUUGGCGGGGUAAAGGCCCACCAAGGCGACGAUCCGUAGCUGGUCUGAGAGGAUGAUCAGCCACACGGGAACUGAGACACGGUCCAGACUCCUGCGGGAGGCAGCAGUGGGGAAUAUUGGACAAUGGGCGCAAGCCUGAUCCAGCCAUACCGCGUGGGUGAAGAAGGCCUUCGGGUUGUAAAGCCCUUUUGUUGGGAAAGAAAAGCAGCAGGUUAAUACCCCGCUGUUCUGACGGUACCCAAAGAAUAAGCACCGGCUAACUUCGUG